AGCAGCCGCGGUAAUUCCAGCUCCAAUAGCGUAUAUUAAAGUUGUUGCAGUUAAAAAGCUCGUAGUUGAAUUUCGGGAUCAAUUAAUUGGUCGUGCCUAUGGUACGUACUGAUUUUAUUGGUUUCUCCCUUCUGACGAACCAUGAUGUCAUUAAUUUGGUGUCGUGGAGAAUCAGGACUGUUACUUUGAAAAAAUUAGAGUGUUUAAAGCAGGCUAACGCUUGAAUACAUUAGCAUGGAAUAAUGAAAUAGGACGUUUGAUCCUAUUUUUGUUGGUUUCUAGGAUCGACGUAAUGAUUAAUAGGGAUAGUUGGGGGGCAUUAGUAUUCAAUUGUCAGAGGUGAAAUUCCUGGAUUUAUUGAAGACUAACUACUGCGAAAGCAUUUGCCAAGGAUGUUUUCAUUAAUCAAGAACGAAAGUUAGGGGAUCGAAGACGAUCAGAUACCGUCGUAGUCUUAACCAUAAACUAUGCCGACUAGGGAUCGGAUGAUGUUAAUUUUUUAAUGACUCAUUCGGCGCCU
RNAcentral lists this ribosomal RNA (520 nucleotides) under uncultured Glomus. RNAcentral describes it as "SSU rRNA". It matches the Rfam family "Eukaryotic small subunit ribosomal RNA", at positions 569 to 1088 of the family's 1831-position model. Lineage: Eukaryota; Fungi; Glomeromycota; Glomeromycetes; Glomerales; Glomeraceae. The record is from RNAcentral.